UACGUAGGGUGCAAGCGUUGUCCGGAAUUAUUGGGCGUAAAGAGCUCGUAGGCGGUCUGUCGCGUCGGCUGUGAAAUCCCGAGGCUCAACCUCGGGUCUGCAGUCGAUACGGGCAAACUGGAGUGUUGCAGGGGAGACUGGAAUUCCUGGUGUAGCGGUGAAAUGCGCAGAUAUCAGGAGGAACACCGGUGGCGAAGGCGGGUCUCUGGGCAACAACUGACGCUGAAGCGCGAAAGCUAGGGGAGCAAACAGG
This 253-nucleotide ribosomal RNA is filed under the name uncultured bacterium. RNAcentral describes it as "partial 16S ribosomal RNA". It matches the Rfam family "Bacterial small subunit ribosomal RNA", at positions 524 to 776 of the family's 1533-position model. The record is from RNAcentral.